UACGGAGGGGGCUAGCGUUGUUCGGAAUUACUGGGCGUAAAGCGCGCUUAGGCGGACCUGCAAGUCGGGGGUGAAAGCCCGAGGCUUAACCUCGGAACUGCCUUCGAUACUGCGGGUCUCGAGUCCGGGAGAGGUGAGUGGAAUUCCUAGUGUAGAGGUGAAAUUCGUAGAUAUUAGGAAGAACACCAGUGGCGAAGGCGGCUCACUGGCCCGGUACUGACGAUGAGGUGCGAAAGCGUGGGGAGCAAACAGG
Molecule: ribosomal RNA, 253 nt
Filed under: uncultured bacterium
Lineage: Bacteria
Description: partial 16S ribosomal RNA
Rfam family: Bacterial small subunit ribosomal RNA
Source: RNAcentral